Molecule: small nuclear RNA, 160 nt
Organism: Pygocentrus nattereri (red-bellied piranha)
Lineage: Eukaryota; Metazoa; Chordata; Actinopteri; Characiformes; Serrasalmidae
Gene: U1
Rfam family: U1 spliceosomal RNA
About the family: U1 is a small nuclear RNA (snRNA) component of the spliceosome (involved in pre-mRNA splicing). Its 5' end forms complementary base pairs with the 5' splice junction, thus defining the 5' donor site of an intron.
Source: Ensembl
AAAGUUCGCGGGGGUGAUGCCGUGAUCACGAAGGUGGUUCACCCAGGGCGAGGUUCUGCCAUUGUGCUUCGGUGGCGCUGACCCUUGCCAAUUCCCCAAAUGUGAGAAUCUCGACUGCAUAAUUUCCGGCCGUGGGGGACUGUGUUUGCAGGGGCAGUCG